CCUACGGGAGGCUGCAGUGGGGAAUAUUGCACAAUGGGGGAAACCCUGAUGCAGCGACGCCGCGUGAGUGAAGAAGUAUCUCUGUAUGUAAAGCUCUAUCAGCAGGGAAGAAAAUGACGGUACCUGACUAAGAAGCCCCGGCUAACUACGUGCCAGCAGCCGCGGUAAUACGUAGGGGGCAAGCGUUAUCCGGAUUUACUGGGUGGAAAGGGAGCGUAGACGGCAGCACAAGUCUGGAGUGAAAUCCCGGGGAUUAACCCCGGAACUGCUUUGGAAACUGUCCAGCUGGAGUGCAGGAGGGGUAAGUGGAAUGCCUGGUGUAGCGGUGAAAUGCGUAGAGAUUAGGAGGAACACCAGUGGCGAAGGCGGCUUACUGGACUGUAACUGACGUUGAGGCACGAAAGCGUGGGGAGCAAACAGGAUUAGAUACCCGGGUAGUC
RNAcentral lists this ribosomal RNA (440 nucleotides) under uncultured bacterium. RNAcentral describes it as "partial 16S ribosomal RNA". It matches the Rfam family "Bacterial small subunit ribosomal RNA", at positions 338 to 795 of the family's 1533-position model. The record is from RNAcentral.